GAUGAACGCUGGCGGCGUGCCUAAUACAUGCAAGUCGAGCGAACGGACGAGAAGCUUGCUUCUCUGAUGUUAGCGGCGGACGGGUGAGUAACACGUGGAUAACCUACCUAUAAGACUGGGAUAACUUCGGGAAACCGUAGCUAAUACCGGAUAAUAUUUUGAACCGCAUGGUUCAAAAGUGAAAGACGGUCUUGCUGUCACGUAUAGAUGGAUCCGCGCUGCAUUAGCUAGUUGGUAAGGUAACGGCUUACCAAGGCAACGAUGCAUAGCCGACCUGAGAGAGGGAUAGGCGACAUGGGAGCUGAGCCACGGUCCAGACUCCUACGGGACGCAGCAGUAGGGAAUCUUCCGCAAUGGGCGAAAGCAUGACGGAGCAACGCCGCGUGAGUGAUGAAGGUCUUCGGAUCGUAAAACUCUGUUAUUAGGGAAGAACAUAUGUGUAAGUAACUGUGCACAUCUUGACGGUACCUAAUCAGAAAGCCACGGCUAACUACGUG
This 497-nucleotide ribosomal RNA is filed under the name uncultured bacterium. RNAcentral's name for it is "partial 16S ribosomal RNA". It matches the Rfam family "Bacterial small subunit ribosomal RNA", at positions 28 to 507 of the family's 1533-position model. The record is from RNAcentral.